UACAGAGGGGGCAAGCGUUGUUCGGAAUUACUGGGCGUGAAGGGCGCGUAGGCGGCCUGUUAAGUCGAACGUGAAAUCCCCGGGCUCAACCCGGGAACUGCGUCCGAUACUGGCAGGCUUGAAUCCGGGAGAGGGAUGCGGAAUUCCAGGUGUAGCGGUGAAAUGCGUAGAUAUCUGGAGGAACACCGGUGGCGAAGGCGGCAUCCUGGACCGGUAUUGACGCUGAGGCGCGAAAGCCAGGGGAGCAAACGGG
Molecule: ribosomal RNA, 253 nt
Filed under: uncultured bacterium
Lineage: Bacteria
Description: partial 16S ribosomal RNA
Rfam family: Bacterial small subunit ribosomal RNA
Source: RNAcentral